This 58-nucleotide microRNA precursor is filed under the name Xenopus laevis (African clawed frog). RNAcentral describes it as "Xla-Mir-551-P1a_pre stem-loop". The record is from RNAcentral. Lineage: Eukaryota; Metazoa; Chordata; Amphibia; Anura; Pipidae.
GAAGUCAAGGUUGGGUUGGGCCUGUUAGAUUACAUAGGCGACCCAUACUUGGUUUCAA